Non-coding RNA from Cricetulus griseus (Chinese hamster), 4552 nucleotides. Lineage: Eukaryota; Metazoa; Chordata; Mammalia; Rodentia; Cricetidae. The record is from RefSeq and is a predicted model, not a curated record.
CUGUUCCCCUGACUACACAAACAACCGCACAGCCUGUUACCCUGACUACACAAACAACUGCACAGCCCGUUACCCUGACUACACAAACAACUGCACAGUCCGUUACCCUGACUACACAAACAACCGCACAGCCUGUUACCAUGACUCUACACAACCACACAGCCUGUUACCCUGACUCUCACAAACAACUGCACAGCCUGUUACCCUGACUCUACACAAACAAUUGCACAGCCUGUUACCCUGACUCUCACAAACAGCCUAUUUCCCUGGUGAUAUGAGUCACCCAUCAGCAUCCUGUGUAAAGCAGAAGUGUGUGUUUGCUGCUGAGACUGAGCAACUUUUUUAUUUAGCUGAAAUUAAAAUGGAGUAUACCACAGACAUAGAAUCCAUUAGUGUUUUUACAUAUUUUAAUUAUUAAGGUAAAGUAAGAGUUACAGAAAACAGAGUUAACCAUUUUUUAAAAAAGAUUUAUUACAUAUACAGUGUUCUGCCUACGUGCCAGAAUUGGACACCAAAUUGAAUUGUAGAUGGUUGUGAGCCACCAUGUGGUUGCUGGGAAUUGAACUUGGGACCCCUGGAAGAACAGUCAGUGCUCUUAACCUCUGAGUCAUCUCUCCAGCCCCCAAAGUUAACCACUUUAGUGUAUAUAAUACAUGGCUCUUAUGGCAUUCAUGGUGUUAUACAACUGUCAGAUUAGCAAGGUCUAAUGCCCCUCACCUCAAAAGAAGACCUGUACCCAGCAGGCACGUGUCCCCCAUUCCCUUCUUCUGACUCCUAGUAAAAUCUCCAGAUUUAUACAGUCUGGACAUUUCACGGAAUCAUUCACAUGCUGUGUGAAAUUCUGUGUAAUUUUGUUCACGUAGUGUGCUGUUUUCACGAUUCACCCGCGUUGUACUGUGCAUUAGUGCUCUGUUUCCUUUUCAUGAGUUAAUAAUAUUUCAUUGUAUGGGCAUACCAUGUUUGGUUUAUAUAUUUAUCAGUUUGGCAUCUGAAUUAUCCUGAUUUUCUUUUGUGAAGUUUAAUCUUUGAAUGUGAUUCAUGUGUUGCAUGUCCACAGACUAUAUCGAAUAGCACUGAGCCCCAUGGCAAGAAGCAGCUAGCUGUCCACAGUCCUGCCUGUGUUUUCCCAUUAGCAUCUUAAACUCUUUCAUCUGUGUCUUCCGGUUUCAUACAUUUAAAAGUGUUAUGCUGCUGUUCUUUGAUUUCUGACUUUCUUCCCUUCUCCCUCCCCCAUGGGAUGUGAGGGUUUAGCUUUAACACUCACGCCCCCAUAAGCACCCAACUCCAUUUACCUCCACAAUUCAAUUAUAGCCCAAGUUAAGUCAAGGGCUAGCGAACAACCCCAUCCCAAAAAACCAGGCGGAUAGCUGUCCUGAAAACACCCAAGGUUCACAUACACACGCACACACAUGUGCCCACAGACAAAGGACUAGUGUCAGUAAUAUGUAGAGAUUUUUUUGUAGCCCACCCAUGCAGACUCGAAUUCCUUCACAAACCUUAUUUAAAUUCUGAAAUGAAUCUCAUUUUAAAGUUUUAAGUUUCCACAUGCUUCACUCUUCACUCCUAAUCCUGACUGUGGGACUGUGACUUCCCUUCCAGCGUGUUCAGACCAGUGUGCGGUCACCGUGUUGUGCUCUGGUUUCUGGGAGCCCAUCGUCCUCCCACCCUGGUCUAGAUAAAUGCCUUUCUCUGCUGUCUGGCUUCUUCCCCUGGGUUAACACAUCCCAGAUCUUCAGCUCUUUAACCCUCUUGACCCCAGCUUCUGUCUGUUUGUGUGUGUCUGUGUGUGUCUGUGUGUCUGUGUCUGUGUGUGUCUGUGUGUCUGUGCAGAGAUGUGCACACACCCUUCAGCAGUCAUCUGGGAAAGGCCGACUGCUGGGACUUUGUUUUUCUUUAGGUUUUACACUCUGUUGAUAGGAAUUCCUGGUUAGAAAAAGAAAAUCCCCUGGGAUUUCAUUGUCUGGAACAACACAGAGCUGAUCUCUGAACCUUUGUCUCUGGAAGUGGGAGAUUCAAUUUUAACACUCAUGCAGUUGUGCUUACAGUUAUACACGUGCGUGCAUGCGCGCGUGUGCACACGCGUGCACACACACACACACACACACACACACACACACACACAGUGUUCUUUAGUGGGUGGUCCCAGGUCACCAUGGAGGCUGUUGUCAUUCAGCCUCGCUACCAUGAUCAGUGAAGUCUCUCCACUCUAGCAGAAGUUCCUGCCUUUCUAAUCCCCUUGCCUUGUUUUUGCUUCCCUUCCUGGGACCAGCUUUUCUUCCAUUCUGCACUGAUCCACUCACUCAUCCCUUCUCCUUUCUGUCUCUAUUUUACUUCUGGGAAAAGUCCCCCAUGUCUUUGAAAACUUAACAGUAUUUCUUUCUGCUAAUGUCAGAAAGGUGGGUUUUUAAUGUCAUUCUUUCCCUGUGUGUAAUUUCACAGCUAUUUCUGGGGGUGGAGGGUGUUGAUUUUGUUCUCAUUUUGCAGUUUUCUGCCCUCCACUGAGUCUAAAUCUUCCAAGUGCUGUGGGUUUUUUGGCUUUUGUGUUGUGGGUUCACUUGGAUCUUCAGUGCUGUUUCUAUUAGGGAUAGGAGUAAAAUGUCAAAGUCUCUAUCCACUGACAGGACUUUUCAACUGACCUAUCUAAUUGCAGCAUGUAUGCUAAAUUGAAGAAUGGUCCUCUCAUACAAACAAAAGAGGUCCCUGUCCUGGGGCUGGAGAGGUGGCUCAGCAAUUCAGAGCAUGUACUGCUCUUGCCGAGGACCUCAAUUUGGUGCUUAGUACUAAUACGUGUGGUAGCUCACAACCGUCUGUAACCCCCAUUCCAGGGGACCCAACACCCUCUUCUGGGCACCCACAUGCAUAAACACACCAGGUUUUUAUGUUUUUAAUCUUAAGAAAAAUGUCCUGUCCUAACCUGUGAAAAUGUGGCCUUAUGUGGGCUUAGCAGACUCGGUGGGUCAGUUACCUUGAAAUGGGAGAGCAUCCUUGCUGGUCCUGGAGCCUCCUCAGUCAUACCUGGCCUUAAAAACAGAGCCCCCCACCCCCACUUGGCUGUUGGUCAGAGAGAUGUGAGGAUGGAGCAAAGUAGAGAGACCCAACGUGGCCGGCUCUAGGGAUGAAGUAAGAGGGCCCUGGCGUGGAGUGUCGUUUCUGUGGUAAGAAAGGCAGGAUAACAGACCAUCUCCUCCAGAAAGGAGUGGGACUGCUGACUCCUGACUUUACCCGGUGAGGCUGGAAGACGACAGCACAGUUACAGUCUUUGGAAGACAGAGUUUAUAGUGACUUGUUACAGCCAUAGGAGGAAAGUUACAGUGUGGACCCGCUGGGGAUACCCAAUGCCGUUGCGUGCUGAUAGGUUCUUUGGUCUUCACCUAGAGGUCGCUGCAGUUAGCACAGCAGACUCCUCAGAUAGUACAACAAUAAAGCCUAGUGUAGGGUUGGUAGAGAGGUCCUGCAAGCUUCAGCCAGAGCCUUGGAGAAAUUCUCACCCAAGUCUUGAGCCUGCAUCACAAAGAGCUUCAGGAGUUCCAGGAAACUGCAGAGUCUGCCAUCCAGUGGCAGAUAGUAGAUGGGACUGUGGACCGCCAUGUCUGGCUCUUGGAAUAAUAACUUUGAUAUAGGCAUUCUACAUCUGAUUCAAGUUUUUCUCACUGCCAGAUUGAAGCCUAGAAUCAUAUGGAGAAGAAGAUCCUGGGAAAUGUAGUUUCAGCCUUACAUUAAUCCUACACAGGCAUGAGCUUGAAUGUCAGAUUCUGGAAGCUGGAUUGAGGAGGCAAAAAGUCUUACGGUUCGGACUGGAUUUCUAACUAACCUCUCUUGUAGACUGGCACCCAGUACUCCCCUGGCUGUGCCCGCUGUCUCCAGGUGCACAGCUCUGCAUCGAGCUCUCCUGAGUGAAAUGUGUUGGGGGUCCUUGGGGAGAAACUAGAAUUUAACUGAGCAUCUGUACCUCUGUUCCAGACUUCCUCCAGUCCACCUGACUUCAAGGCACUUCCUCUUGCCCCAGCUCCUGAGCCUUCCUGCCCUUCUGCACAGGGGGAGACCCUGGAUACCUGUACCGCUCAAUUGUGUACAGAAUGUCUUAACAUAUGUAAGACCAUACAUCGUCACAAGUAGAGAGAAGAAUUUACACAGUAAGACGACUUGUGAUAUACAAAUUAUACGUAAGUUACCUCAUACAAGGAUCUAUAACAGUGUAAGUUGUCUAUAGUCAAUAAUCACUAAGGUGAAUCACAAGAAGAUAAUAAUGUACCUAUAUCUCAUCCUAACCAUAUCUAUCCCAUCCUCAAAGUAAAAAUCAUAGGAGAAAACAGAAGGCCAUCAUGUUUUGUCUUGUUUACAUGAGACAGAGUCUGACGGUCCAGCGCAGGCUGGCCUAGAAAUCAAGAUCCUCCGUCCUUAAGUCUCUGAAGUACUGGGAUGGACAAGUGUGCACCACUGUCCUGGAUUUGGCUACAAAAUUGUCUUUAUUACACACUUACAUUUAUUGAGUUUUACAAUUACAAAUGGAGCUUUCCUGUGUCACUGUACAGAUUAAAACUCCUACCCUUCA